RNAcentral lists this ribosomal RNA (292 nucleotides) under uncultured bacterium. Its description in RNAcentral is "partial 16S ribosomal RNA". It matches the Rfam family "Bacterial small subunit ribosomal RNA", at positions 505 to 796 of the family's 1533-position model. The record is from RNAcentral.
GUGACAGCCGCCGCGGUAAUACGAAGGAUUCGAGCGUUAUCCGGAUUUAUUGGGUUUAAAGGGUGCGUAGGUGGAUUAAUAAGUCAGUGGUGAAAGCCCGGAGCUCAACUCCGGAACUGCCAUUGAUACUGUUAAUCUUGAGUACAGUUGAGGUGGGCGGAAUGUGUCAUGUAGCGGUGAAAUGCUUAGAUAUGACACAGAACACCGAUUGCGAAGGCAGCUCACUAAGCUGUAACUGACACUGAGGCACGAAAGUGUGGGUAGCAAACAGGAUUAGAAACCCCGGUAGUCC